Unclassified non-coding RNA from Stegodyphus dumicola, 1231 nucleotides. The record is from RefSeq and is a predicted model, not a curated record. Lineage: Eukaryota; Metazoa; Arthropoda; Arachnida; Araneae; Eresidae.
UUUUACUCGGAUUCUUUGAUAUAUAAUAUGGUAGAUGUUUUUAGAGAAGGAUGAAGAUAAAUAGGACACCUUUCCUCAUAUUUGAAAUCAACAGGAAAAUGCUUAAGAAUCAGCCUUUUACUUUCAUGUAACAUAUAACAGAAAGCUAAAUUUUGUUGACUAGAGUAAUUUGCUGCAUUCAUUUUCCAUUAAAUGAAUGGGGACCCACUGUUUUCUUCAUCAGCAUGCUCUUGUAUCAGAACACUGCCUCCAGAGAGGAUAAGCCUCAUGCUUUCAAGUGUGAAGAUUGCUCAAAGUUUAUAUCUGAGGAUUUGGAAACUGUUAUGCCUCCUGGUGAUUCCACCGAUAUAUUAGUUCUUGAUCCUGUUUGCUUCACAUCUGCUAAUGUUCUUGAUCCUGAUGAAUUGAAAAGACUCCUGAAGGAAGUUGAGUACUUGGAACAUACUGAAGCUAACCUCAAAGGAACUAACCUCAAUAUCUAUGGAAAGAAGGAAUUUUUCUUUGGCUGCCACAGACACCAGACACAUUUAUUUUAUAGUUCAGAAGCUUGCGUAUGUUUGGAAGCAAGUAAAAAAACUCUGAGGAGGAAAGGGAUGAUUUGGAAGCAAGAGCAGCUGAUUAUUAAUUUAUCAUCUUUGAAGACUCAAUCUGAAUGAAUAGCUGCAGCAAGAGUUUCAUGAGUGUUGUGAAGAUAUCUACAAGCAAAGGCAGUUUCAAAAGGAAAGCAUUUAAAUGUUUUUAUGGGGCUAUAGUAGGGUAAUCAUAUCAGUUCUACAAAUAUUUACUUAUAAAUGUCAGAAAAGACCAUUUAAUUCUUCAGCAAAUCAUAAAAAUUUCAUAAGAGCUAAUCUCAAAACCCAUUAAGAAUUCACAUAAGUGAAUGCUCAUUUCAGUGUUCUUGUUGUAAAGAAUUUAGUCAGAAAUGCCACCUGCAGCUGCAUUUCCGACACAAAGUAUUUGAAUUUAUCUUGUUUAUCUUAAAAAGCUUUUGGUGUAGUAGUUUGAAAAUGAUAAUGUAUUUUGUUCUUUAAUUAUUCUUUAAUUUGUAAUUUCACAAACAAUUCAGUAGUAUAGUUUCCAAAUUAAGCAUGCAUUAUAUUCUAAAAUUUUAAUCUUGUAUAUGAAAUGUGUUUAUUUUUUGUUUUGUAGUAUUACAUAUUUAAAUUCUUAAACAAACGUGUGAAACUUUAAUUCUGUAUCAGACUAAUAGAAAUAAAAUGUUAUACUGAAA